GUCCCAGUUCGGAUUGCAGGCUGCAACCCGCCUGCAUGAAGUUGGAAUCGCUAGUAAUCGCGGAUCAGCAUGCCGCGGUGAAUACGUUCCCGGGCCUUGUACACACCGCCCGUCACACCAUGAGAGUCGGAAAUGCCCGAAGCCGGUGACCCAACCAAAAGGAGGGAGCCGUCGAAGGCAGGUCUGAUAACUGGGGUGAAGUCGUAACAAGGUAAC
This 216-nucleotide ribosomal RNA is filed under the name uncultured bacterium. Its description in RNAcentral is "partial 16S ribosomal RNA". It matches the Rfam family "Bacterial small subunit ribosomal RNA", at positions 1285 to 1500 of the family's 1533-position model. The record is from RNAcentral.